CUUCCUCUCCUCGCUCAUUCUCCUAGUCUCAUUAACAAAGGGUUCAAUCCUUCUCAUUCUUAUAACACAUGAAAUCAGAUGAAGAGGGUUUCAAAAACCCCUCUCUUUCUAUGAUUAACAAAUGACUCAUUCUCACUCUUUCUUGAAAAAUUGGAAGAAUAUGCAUUUUAACUUAGGAUUUCAGAGGAAUGAGAAAGAUCUCCCUUCGAUGUCUUUGGAUAAGGUUUUGUGUGUCAAUUCCAUCCCUUUUCUUUCACUCUCCCAUGUUUUCUCUCGCUCUUCGUUUUCUUUAUUUUCCUCCAUAAAUUUUAAAUUCGCCGCCGCCCCAUUUCUCUGUUUUCUCUGUGUUUUUGUUUACCUAGAUCCUUAUCUCUUUUACCUAGAUCCAUGUUUUCGUUUGUUUAAUUCGUGUUACAUCAAACAUAGAUUGAUUCCAUUAUGUAUCUCAGUGAAAAUAUUUUUCAACCAUUUAAUCCGUGAAAGAAAGACAUUAUAUAUUGAUGAUUUUAAUAUAGAAACACUUUUGUUGGUAUCUGAUUUACAUUCUAUUUUGCAUCCUUCUUCUUUUCAUGUUCUACUAAGUAUUUAUAUGUUGACUGUUUUAAUUUUUUGAUUUCGAAUUCUUUUACAUCUAUGGUUAGUUGAUGAAAUUUUUAAUGGUUUUUGUUUGUUUUGUGUAGAUCUGUUGUCCAAGGAUCAUCAUAGUGACAACAAAUUCACUAUCAACACUUACUUACCUAUUGGAGUUGUGAGUUUAAUUGGAUUUAUUUUAUUUUGAAUUAUUUUUCAUUAUUUAGUCUGUUCAUUCAUUAUCAGCAGUUUGAUUUUCGGUUGGUUAUUGCAUUUAGAAAUCUGAGUUGUUUUGCAUUUUAGAUUCCCUUUAAGAGCUCAUGAUUAUUUGGGGUUCUUACACCAUCAUUUUAAAUAAUUAAUCUUUUUUUAUUGUUAUUGUUGAUAUUUGUAAAUAUAGUACUAAAUAUUUGUAUAUCGAAUAGUCCCACAUCGACUAUAUAAUGUAAUUAGUAAUAAUCUCUCUCUAUAUAAAAAAGUCUCUGUAGUGCUUUUCAAAACACACGGUUUAUUCAAAUGUCUCUUAGUCUCUUGUAUUUCAACAUGGUAUCUAGAGUCUGUUAAGAGGCAAUUCUUUCUUCGUCGUGCUUUACCAGUUGACCCACUGUCUUCUGGUGAUAAUUUUUUUUUGCAAACCGUGUCAUCACUCUGGUUUGCCUUCCACUUUUCAAAAUUCUCCGGUAACCUACCAGCAGAAACGCCUCUUUUGAUCCAGCCGUUCCUCACUUUUCAUCGGCAAAAACCUCCGUACGUGACAACACGUCCGACGACCGAUCCCGACAAUUUUUCACUGCUCCACUCUCCAUAGGGCAAUUGUUUCAGAUCCGAUACUCAUGGCCACUCCUCAUAAUUUUACGCCAAACUAUGAUGAUUUUCUCAAGUGGUAUCAGAAUUAUCAGAACUUAGAUUCUACUGCUUCGGUAGCACACACUGGUAAUUCAUCUGCUUUUCUCUCUCAAUCAUCUUCUCUUGGAUCUUGGGUCCUUGAUUCUGGUGCAUCUGAUCAUGUUACCGGUAGUAUUUUUUUUCUCUUCCCUCUAUACAUCUGGUUUCUUACCUACUAUAACUUCUGCCAAUGGUUCUCAAACCCGAUCCGAAGGGAUUGGUACUAUUCAAAUUUUACCUUCUCUCUCGGUUACUUCUGUCCUAUAUGUACCUAAUUGUCCAUUUAAUUUACUUUCAGUUAGUCGUUUAACUCGUUCUCUUGAUUGUAGUGUCUCCUUCACUAGCAAUAAUAUUACCCUACAGGAUCGGAGUUCGGGACGGACGAUUGAUGUCGGAUGUGAGUCUCAAGGUCUUUAUUAGCUCUCAGUGUCAUCUUAGACAUGCUCAGCCAAAGAUUUUCCACUCACUAUCCAUGCUCAGUUAGGUCACCCCAGUCUUUCCAAACUACAUAAGUUGGUGUCAAAUUUAUCGAAGGUAUCUAAUUUACAUUAUGAGUCGUGUCAUCUAAGGAAACACACUCGUGGUCAGUUUCCCAAUCGAGUCAAUAAACAAGCUUCGUCCCCUUUUGCUUUAGUUCACACCGAUGUUUGGGGUCCCUUGCGUAUUGUCUCUACUCUUGAGUUUAAGUAUUUUGUCAUCUUUAUUGAUGAUUUUUCACGUUGCACGUGGUUAUUUUUAAUGAAGAAUAGAUCUGAAUUAUUUUCUAUUUUUGAAUAAUUCUAUCAAGAAAUAAGAACUCAAUUCGGCGUGUCUAUCCGUACCUUAAGAAGUGACAAUGCCCGUGAAUAUUUAUCCCAACAAUUUCAUAAUUUUAUGUCACGCAAUGGUAUUCUUCAUCAGACAUCUUGCCCUCACACACCUCAACAAAACGGGGUAGCCGAACGCAAAAAUUGGCAUCUUGUAGAAACCACUCGGACCCUACUUCUCCAUGGUAAUGUUCCACUUCAGUUUUGGGGGGAUGUUGUGCUAACGACAUGUUACCUUAUAAAUCGCAUGCCCUCAUCUGUCCUUAACAAUAAAAUCCCUUAUUAAAUCCUUUUUCCAAAUUCCCCAUUUCACCCAAUUUCUCCCCGAGUCUUCGGAUCCACAUGUUUUGUACACAAUCUUUCUUCUGGUCAUGAUAAACUCUCAGCUCGAUCACUAAAGUGUGUCUUUCUUGGUUAUCAUCGACCCCAAAAAGAUUAUCAUUGUUAUUCACAUAUUUUACAAUGAUACCUAGUAUCGAUCGAUGUUACCUUCUUCGAGUCGGUUCCAUAUUUCGAGUCCAGUCACAUAACUCCAAAACCCAUUCAAGAAAGUACUCCCACAUCUUUUCCGAUAGUUAUUAAUGUCCCGCCUACCAUUAUCCCCCAUCAGUCUAGGGCUCUUGACCUACCCACUUCUCGACCACUUCAAACAUAUCAGUAUCGUCACCCAACGUCUGUCGCCCCUGUCACGGAGGUCAUACUUGUCCCUAAGGUCAUUGCAGACUCUCCUUAGACGCCUCCACCAUAACCGUAUCUGAUCUUGCAACCUGAGUCUGAUCUUCCGAUUGCCCUUCAAAAAGGUAUACUUCAAACACAAAAUCAUUCUCCAUAUUAUAUUGAUUUAUAUUAUCAUCGUAUUUCCCCUUUGCAGUAUACUUGUUUGUCUUCUUUGUCUUCUGUUUCUAUUCCUAACACUCCAGAUGAAGCAUUAUCUCACCCUGAGUGGAGGCAAGCAAUGAUUGAUAAAAUGUGUGCUCUUCAAAGCAGUGGUACCUGAGAACUGGUUCCUCUACUCCAUGGGAAAUCUUUAGUAGGUUGUUGUUGGCUUUAUACAGUGAAUAUUGGUCUAGAUGGUAAGAAUGAUCGAUUUAAAGCUCGCUUGGUAGCCAAAUGAUACACUCAAAUUUUUGGAUUAGAUUAUAGUGAUACCUUCUUGCCUGUAGCCAAUAUGGCAUCUGUUAGACUUCUUCUAGCCAUUGCAACCAUUCGACAUUGGCCUCUUCAUCAACUUGACAUCAAAAAUGCUUUUUUUUACAUGGUGAUCUUGAAGAAGAAGUAUAUAUGGAGCAACCACCUGGAUUUGUUGCUCAGGGGAAGUCAUCGAAUAUGGUGUGUAGGUUACACAUGUCUCUUUAUGGUCUUAAGCAAUCUCCGAGAGCUUGGUUCGGCAGAUUUAGCACUGUAGUACAACAGUUUGGUAUGGUCUGUAGUGAAGCUGACCAUUCUGUUUUUUAUUGUCACUCAGCCCAAGGGUGUAUUUAUCUUAUUGUGUAUGUAGAUGAUGUUGUCAUAACUUGUAGUGAUCAACAAGGUAUACUUCAGUUAAAGCAACGUCUCUCGAAUCAAUUUCAGACAAAAGAUCUUGGUAAACUUCGCCAUUUCUUGGGUAUUAAGGUAGCCCAAUCUAAAGAUAGUUUGGUGAUUUCUCAAUGAAAAUAUACUAUGGAUAUUUUGGAAGAAACAAGUUUGUUGAAUGCUAAACCAGCUGAUACUCCUAUGGAUCAGGGUGUCAAACUACUACCCAAUCAGGGGGAGCCUCUAUUUGAC
This 4028-nucleotide long non-coding RNA is filed under the name Lathyrus oleraceus (garden pea). RNAcentral's name for it is "Pisum sativum (pea) long non-coding RNA (PSAT_LNC033538)". The record is from RNAcentral. Lineage: Eukaryota; Viridiplantae; Streptophyta; Magnoliopsida; Fabales; Fabaceae.